This 467-nucleotide ribosomal RNA is filed under the name uncultured Kytococcus sp. Its description in RNAcentral is "bacterial SSU rRNA". It matches the Rfam family "Bacterial small subunit ribosomal RNA", at positions 28 to 505 of the family's 1533-position model. Lineage: Bacteria; Bacillati; Actinomycetota; Actinomycetes; Micrococcales; Kytococcaceae. The record is from RNAcentral.
GACGAACGCUGGCGGCGUGCUUAACACAUGCAAGUCGAACGGUGAAGCGGGUGCUUGCACUCGUGGAUCAGUGGCGAACGGGUGAGUAACACGUGAGUAACCUGCCCAUCACUCUGGGAUAAGCGCUGGAAACGGCGUCUAAUACUGGAUACGACCAACCCUUGCAUGGGGUGUUGGUGGAAAGAUUUAUCGGUGGUGGAUGGACUCGCGUCCUAUCAGCUUGUUGGUGGGGUAAUGGCCUACCAAGGCGACGACGGGUAGCCGGCCUGAGAGGGCGACCGGCCACACUGGGACUGAGACACGGCCCAGACUCCUACGGGAGGCAGCAGUGGGGAAUAUUGCACAAUGGGCGAAAGCCUGAUGCAGCGACGCCGCGUGAGGGAUGACGGCCUUCGGGUUGUAAACCUCUUUCAGCAGGGAAGAAGCUUUUGUGACGGUACCUGCAGAAGAAGCACCGGCUAACUACG